This 801-nucleotide ribosomal RNA is filed under the name uncultured bacterium. RNAcentral's name for it is "bacterial SSU rRNA". It matches the Rfam family "Bacterial small subunit ribosomal RNA", at positions 8 to 796 of the family's 1533-position model. The record is from RNAcentral.
AGAGUUUGAUCAUGGCUCAGAGUGAACGCUGGCGGUAGGCCUAACACAUGCAAGUCGAACGGCAGCACAGUAAGAGCUUGCUCUUACGGGUGGCGAGUGGCGGACGGGUGAGGAAUGCAUCGGAAUCUACUCUGUCGUGGGGGAUAACGUAGGGAAACUUACGCUAAUACCGCAUACGACCUACGGGUGAAAGCAGGGGAUCUUCGGACCUUGCGCGAUUGAAUGAGCCGAUGCCCGAUUAGCUAGUUGGCGGGGCAAGAGCCCACCAAGGCGACGAUCGGUAGCUGGUCUGAGAGGAUGAUCAGCCACACUGGAACUGAGACACGGUCCAGACUCCUACGGGAGGCAGCAGUGGGGAAUAUUGGACAAUGGGCGCAAGCCUGAUCCAGCCAUACCGCGUGGGUGAAGAAGGCCUUCGGGUCGUAAAGCCCUUUUGUUGGGAAAGAAAAGCAGUCGGUUAAUACCCGAUUGUUCUGACGGUACCCAAAGAAUAAGCACCGGCUAACUUCGUGCCAGCAGCCGCGGUAAUACGAAGGGUGCAAGCGUUACUCGGAAUUACUGGGCGUAAAGCGUGCGUAGGUGGUUGUUUAAGUCUGUCGUGAAAGCCCUGGGCUCAACCUGGGAAUUGCGAUGGAAACUGGGCGACUAGAGUGUGGCAGAGGGUAGUGGAAUUCCUGGUGUAGCAGUGAAAUGCGUAGAGAUCAGGAGGAACAUCCGUGGCGAAGGCGACUGCCUGGGCCAACACUGACACUGAGGCACGAAAGCGUGGGGAGCAAACAGGAUUAGAUACCCCGGUAGUCC